CCCUUAGAUGUUCUGGGCCGCACGCGCGCUACACUGAUGCAUUCAACAAGCCUAGCCUUGACCGAGAGGUCCGGGUAAUCUUUGAAACUGCAUCGUGAUGGGGCUAGAUUAUUGCAAUUAUUAAUCUUCAACGAGGAAUGCCUAGUAAGCGUGAUUCAUCAAAUCGCGUUGAUUACGUCCCUGUCCUUUGUACACACCGCCCGUCGCUCCUACCGAUUGAAUGUGUUGGUGAGGAGCUCGGAUUGGCAGCAGUUGGUGGUUCGCCACCGGCUAUUGCUGAGAAGUCCUCCAAACCGCCCCAUUUAGAGGAAGGAGAAGUCGUAACA
Molecule: ribosomal RNA, 326 nt
Filed under: uncultured eukaryote
Lineage: Eukaryota
Description: partial 18S ribosomal RNA
Rfam family: Eukaryotic small subunit ribosomal RNA
Source: RNAcentral